Molecule: long non-coding RNA, 379 nt
Filed under: Gossypium barbadense (sea-island cotton)
Lineage: Eukaryota; Viridiplantae; Streptophyta; Magnoliopsida; Malvales; Malvaceae
Description: long non-coding RNA (GBAR_LNC007708)
Source: RNAcentral
CUUGACUUGCUGUUGCCAGAGAACAUACGUUGCAUCAGUUAGUUUAACCACAUCAUGAUGGGGAAAGGAAUGUACCACACGUUCACCAUUGAAGAGAACAGCACUCGGCUCAGUCGAGUCAGAAUCAGCAGAGGUUGUGAUGACCAUAAAGCCCAAGAUCAGCCGGCGAAAAAUACCAUAUUAGAAACCAGGUAAAAAUAAAAGAAACUGUUCUUCUUUGAUUUAUGAAACUUGCUUUAUUACAUGCUCACUUGAAAUCCUUUUAUAUAGACUUCCUCAACUGCUCUUAACAGCUUAACAAUAUUCAACAGCUAAUUAACAGACUAACAGCUAACAAUCUAACUAACUGAUCCUUUACAGUUGGCAAGAUAGAUGGUGG